GACGAACGCUGGCGGCGUGCUUAACACAUGCAAGUCGAACGGAAAGGCCCUGCUUUUGUGGGGGUGCCCGAGUGGCGACCGGGUGAGUAACCCGUGAUUAACCUGCCCUUGACUUUGGGUUAACUCCAGGAAACUGGGCCUAAUACCGGAUAGGAGCUCCUGCUGCUUGGUGGGGGUUGGAAAGUUUCGGCGGUUGGGGAUGGACUCGCGGCUUAUCAGCUUGUUGGUGGGGUAGUGGCUUACCAAGGCUUUGACGGGUAGCCGGCCUGAGAGGGUGACCGGCCACAUUGGGACUGAGAUACGGCCCAGACUCCUACGGGAGGCAGCAGUGGGGAAUAUUGCACAAUGGGCGGAAGCCUGAUGCAGCAACGCCGCGUGCGGGAUGACGGCCUUCGGGUUGUAAACCGCUUUCGCCUGUGACGAAGCGUGAGUGACGGUAAUGGGUAAAGAAGCACCGGCUAACUACGUG
This 469-nucleotide ribosomal RNA is filed under the name uncultured bacterium. RNAcentral's name for it is "partial 16S ribosomal RNA". It matches the Rfam family "Bacterial small subunit ribosomal RNA", at positions 28 to 507 of the family's 1533-position model. The record is from RNAcentral.